Molecule: ribosomal RNA, 253 nt
Filed under: uncultured bacterium
Lineage: Bacteria
Description: partial 16S ribosomal RNA
Rfam family: Bacterial small subunit ribosomal RNA
Source: RNAcentral
UACGGGGGGGGCAAGCGUUGUUCGGAAUUACUGGGCGUAAAGGGCUCGUAGGUGGCCAACUAAGUCAGACGUGAAAUCCCCAGGCUCAACUUGGGAACUGCGUCUGAUACUGGAUGGCUUGAAUUCGGGAGAGGGAUGCAGAAUUCCAGGUGUAGCGGUGAAAUGCGUAGAUAUCUGGAGGAACAUCAGUGGCGAAGGCGGCCCUCUGGUCCAGUACUGACACUCAAGUGCGAAAGCGUGGGGAGCAAACAGG